GGACGGGUGAGUAAUGUCUGGGAAACUGCCUGAUGGAGGGGGAUAACUACUGGAAACGGUGGCUAAUACCGCAUAACGUCGCAAGACCAAAGAGGGGGACCUUCGGGCCUCUUGCCAUCAGAUGUGCCCAGAUGGGAUUAGCUUGUUGGUGAGGUAACGGCUCACCAAGGCGACGAUCCCUAGCUGGUCUGAGAGGAUGACCAGCCACACUGGAACUGAGACACGGUCCAGACUCCUACGGGAGGCAGCAGUGGGGAAUAUUGCACAAUGGGCGCAAGCCUGAUGCAGCCAUGCCGCGUGUAUGAAGAAGGCCUUCGGGUUGUAAAGUACUUUCAGCGGGGAGGAAGGUGUUGUGGUUAAUAACCGCAGCAAUUGACGUUACCCGCAGAAGAAGCACCGGCUAACUCCGUGCCAGCAGCCGCGGUAAUACGGAGGGUGCAAGCGUUAAUCGGAAUUACUGGGCGUAAAGCGCACGCAGGCGGUCUGUCAAGUCGGAUGUGAAAUCCCCGGGCUCAACCUGGGAACUGCAUUCGAAACUGGCAGGCUUGAGUCUUGUAGAGGGGGGUAGAAUUCCAGGUGUAGCGGUGAAAUGCGUAGAGAUCUGGAGGAAUACCGGUGGCGAAGGCGGCCCCCUGGACAAAGACUGACGCUCAGGUGCGAAAGCGUGGGGAGCAAACAGGAUUAGAUACCCUGGUAGUCCACGCCGUAAACGAUGUCUACUUGGAGGUUGUGCCCUUGAGGCGUGGCUUCCGGAGCUAACGCGUUAAGUAGACCGCCUGGGGAGUACGGCCGCAAGGUUAAAACUCAAAUGAAUUGACGGGGGCCCGCACAAGCGGUGGAGCAUGUGGUUUAAUUCGAUGCAACGCGAAGAACCUUACCUGGUCUUGACAUCCACAGAACUUUCCAGAGAUGGAUUGGUGCCUUCGGGAACUGUGAGACAGGUGCUGCAUGGCUGUCGUCAGCUCGUGUUGUGAAAUGUUGGGUUAAGUCCCGCAACGAGCGCAACCCUUAUCCUUUGUUGCCAGCGGUCCGGCCGGGAACUCAAAGGAGACUGCCAGUGAUAAACUGGAGGAAGGUGGGGAUGACGUCAAGUCAUCAUGGCCCUUACGACCAGGGCUACACACGUGCUACAAUGGCGCAUACAAAGAGAAGCGACCUCGCGAGAGCAAGCGGACCUCAUAAAGUGCGUCGUAGUCCGGAUUGGAGUCUGCAACUCGACUCCAUGAAGUCGGAAUCGCUAGUAAUCGUGGAUCAGAAUGCCACGGUGAAUACGUUCCCGGGCCUUGUACACACCGCCCGUCACACCAUGGGAGUGGGUUGCAAAAGAAGUAGGUAGCUUAACCUUCGGGGGGGCGCUUACCACUUUGUGAUUCAUGACUGGGGUGAAGUCGUAACAAGGUAACCGUAGGGGAACCUGCGGUUGGAUCACCUCCUUA
Molecule: ribosomal RNA, 1436 nt
Filed under: Salmonella enterica
Lineage: Bacteria; Pseudomonadati; Pseudomonadota; Gammaproteobacteria; Enterobacterales; Enterobacteriaceae
Also listed under: 2 other names
Description: bacterial SSU rRNA
Rfam family: Bacterial small subunit ribosomal RNA
Source: RNAcentral